ACCCGCUGAACUUAAGCAUAUCAAUAAGCGGAGGAAAAGAAACCAACAGGGAUUGCCCUAGUAACGGCGAGUGAAGCGGCAACAGCUCAAAUUUGAAAUCUGGCGUCUUUGGCGUCCGAGUUGUAAUUUGCAGAGGGCGCUUUGGCAUUGGCAGCGGUCCAAGUUCCUUGGAACAGGACGUCACAGAGGGUGAGAAUCCCGUACGUGGUCGCUAGCCUUUACCGUGUAAAGCCCCUUCGACGAGUCGAGUUGUUUGGGAAUGCAGCUCUAAAUGGGAGGUAAAUUUCUUCUAAAGCUAAAUACUGGCCAGAGACCGAUAGCGCACAAGUAGAGUGAUCGAAAGAUGAAAAGCACUUUGGAAAGAGAGUUAAAAAGCACGUGAAAUUGUUGAAAGGGAAGCGCUUGUAGCCAGACUUGCCUGUAGUUGCUCAUCCGGGUUUUUACCCGGUGCACUCUUCUAUAGGCAGGCCAGCAUCAGUUUGGGCGGUUGGAUAAAGGUCUCUGUCAUGUACCUCUCUUCGGGGAGAACUUAUAGGGGAGACGACAUGCAACCAGCCCGGACUGAGGUCCGCGCAUCUGCUAGGAUGCUGGCGUAAUGGCUGU
RNAcentral lists this ribosomal RNA (603 nucleotides) under uncultured fungus. RNAcentral's name for it is "eukaryotic LSU rRNA". It matches the Rfam family "Eukaryotic large subunit ribosomal RNA", at positions 23 to 641 of the family's 3401-position model. Lineage: Eukaryota; Fungi. The record is from RNAcentral.